GGCGCCGCUCUCGCGGCCGGUGGUGGAUGUGGGCGUGAGGAUGUCUGUCUCAAGAGGCUCGUAGUAGGUGCGGGGUUCCCGGUGAGCGCAGUGGGUCCUCGCCUCAUCCUCGAGAAGCGAUCGCGCGGUGGAUGUGAAAGGUGACCAAUGCGUAAACGAGAAGGGCACGGCGCUACGAAAGUUUAGUAGAAUUCAGGACCGAGGAGGUGGCUCCCCGGGCCAAGGCCCUGGCCGCCGAGCCUCAACAACGUGGGUUCGAUCCUGGGACCCACUUGGAGAGACCCGAUUUCCUCAAUAUGUCCUCUGACUUCACUACGACCUCAGUCGUGUACGCGCCACGCACAUACAAAACCGCAAAGGACAGACUAGAAUACACGCCGAAUACUGAUGGAUGAAAAGUGGAGGUGGUUCAAGGAGUGACAUCCUUUGUAAAGAAAGAGCCAGUGAAGAGGGAGAGUGGGAAGAAAAAAAAAAAAUCAAAUAUGGAGAAGGGGUACGGUAACGUUAAGACUGGAGAAUUGGCGCAACCUGGUUGCAUCUUCCAGUUAUUCUCACGGGUUUUUCUUUCAAUGAUUUUUUUCCGACCUGUGUUAAUGAUACCGAGGGCCGGACCCCCGGCCAGGGACUGCUGCAAGCGCUCCUUCACAGCUACCAGCUUGAGCUCCAGGUCGAUCCUCUGCUCUUCCUUGGCACGGCAUUGAGCUUCCAGAGUGGCCACGGCCUCUUCCAAGGCCUUCAACUUUGCUCCUGAGUCCAGAGACACGGACGAGAAAGUCUGCGGGGCUGCAGGCCCCACCCCCUCACCCCUUGCUGGAGUGUCCAGAAGGACUGGGUGAAGGCUUGUGCUGCAGCCUCUAUGUCACCACAAAGAGGAAGAGAAUGAAGUCACGUUUCCCUGUACUUCACUA
RNAcentral lists this long non-coding RNA (908 nucleotides) under Mus pahari (shrew mouse). RNAcentral describes it as "lncRNA (MGP_PahariEiJ_G0002701.1)". The record is from RNAcentral. Lineage: Eukaryota; Metazoa; Chordata; Mammalia; Rodentia; Muridae.